UUGUUGCGGGAGCGAUAGCAGCGGCAUCCUUUUUGUAAAGCUUAAAAUAGACCGAAACUUCAUUCUUUAUAUAAUUUUUAAUUAAUUGUUUAAAUAAUAAAAUUGGUACUAAUCUGCUUUAUAAAAAGAUACAGCGAAUAGCGCGGUUUUUA
This is a non-coding RNA of Algibacter lectus, 152 nucleotides long. Lineage: Bacteria; Pseudomonadati; Bacteroidota; Flavobacteriia; Flavobacteriales; Flavobacteriaceae. The record is from Rfam.